UACAGAGGUCUCAAGCGUUGUUCGGAUUCAUUGGGCGUAAAGGGUGCGUAGGUGGCGGGGUAAGUCAGGUGUGAAAUCUCGGAGCUCAACUCCGAAACUGCACUUGAUACUGCCUUGCUCGAGUAUUGGAGAGGAGAUUGGAAUUUACGGUGUAGCAGUGAAAUGCGUAGAUAUCGUAAGGAAGACCAGUGGCGAAGGCGAAUCUCUGGACAAUUACUGACACUGAGGCACGAAGGCCAGGGGAGCAAACGGG
This 253-nucleotide ribosomal RNA is filed under the name uncultured bacterium. Its description in RNAcentral is "partial 16S ribosomal RNA". It matches the Rfam family "Bacterial small subunit ribosomal RNA", at positions 524 to 776 of the family's 1533-position model. The record is from RNAcentral.